Molecule: ribosomal RNA, 429 nt
Filed under: Pseudomonadota bacterium
Lineage: Bacteria; Pseudomonadati; Pseudomonadota
Description: Proteobacteria bacterium partial 16S ribosomal RNA
Rfam family: Bacterial small subunit ribosomal RNA
Source: RNAcentral
UGGGGAAUAUUGGACAAUGGGCGAAAGCCUGAUCCAGCCAUGCCGCGUGUGUGAAGAAGGUCUUCGGAUUGUAAAGCACUUUAAGUUGGGAGGAAGGGCAGUAAGCGAAUACCUUGCUGUUUUGACGUUACCGACAGAAUAAGCACCGGCUGACUCUGUGCCAGCAGCCGCGGUAAUACAGAGGGUGCAAGCGUUAAUCGGAAUUACUGGGCGUAAAGCGCGCGUAGGUGGUUCGUUAAGUUGAAUGUGAAAGCCCCGGGCUCAACCUGGGAACUGCAUCCAAAACUGGCGAGCUAGAGUAGGGCAGAGGGUGGUGGAAUUUCCUGUGUAGCGGUGAAAUGCGUAGAUAUAGGAAGGAACACCAGUGGCGAAGGCGACCACCUGGGCUCAUACUGACACUGAGGUGCGAAAGCGUGGGGAGCAAACAGG